CAGUCCCGAUGCCGACGCCGAGCGCCUGACCGCCUGACCGCCUGACUAGGCCUCCAUCUCGAUGGUCUCCGUGGUGAUUUGAUUCAGGAGCUGACACAACUAAAUAUCCUUCCAGCAAUGAUUUUGUGGCCUUGGGAGUUACUGUCAGAAAGGAUGCCAUGGGGAAAGCCAUCCUGGAGGUUUGUGAGGAAAUUAUUGAAGACACAAGGGAAGAUAUUGUGGCUGAUGAUGUAACUAAGAUGUUAUUUUUAGACGAGUUACCGGAAUACCAUUCUACCACAUGAACAUGAAUAAGGUACUAUGCUUCCUCGGUGUUCAUUUGAUAGCCUUUUCUUUCCAGCAAUAACUUGCAGGGUUAUGGAUGGAAGCAAGAUAUACAUUUCAUAUUUCUAGAUUCAGUGGGAUGCUUGCCAGAAUUUUGUUGUACAUGAUCGUUACUUGACUCUAUUUGAUGGCCAUUACAAUGAUACUUGUGGUUUAUUAGUUCUGUUUUAAGUUAAAAAAAAUCCUCAAAUCAAAAGCUGGCGGUGCCAUCCACUGAUAUACUUGAAUCUAGGCUUAAAUUAUUUUAAAGGAUCAACUGAAUAUUUCAUAGAUGUUGUGAUAGUUUUCCUAUAGUUGUAACCUCUUUUGGGAAACAUGUUUCUUUUUGUAGAUUCUAAUUAUUGCAAGGAAGUUUUAUCAAUUUUAUAAGAUAUUACCCCAAUUGUGAUUGAGCAGUCCAAGAUAUAUAAGAAUUGAUUUUGUGUUUUAUUUACCCUGUUAUCUUAUGAGUUCUGAACGCUGAUUAAUUUGCUCUGUAGGUUUUGCGCAGAAAGCACACCAAUAGGUUCUGAUACGGUUGACAAGAAACAACUAUUUACUUAUUCCAAAAUAUAUCUCUUGCAUGCGAGGCUAAAUGGAAUCACUCAGAUGGAAGUAGAAUAAUAUUUCAAUUUAAAGUAUCUUAGAGAAAUAAGUCCAGCACUGUCCAGGUGUUAUAAUGCUAGGUCUAAUGCAAUUUCAGCUCCUUGUAUAUCCACUUCUUGUAGAAACAACGCUCUAUGAGCUUUGUGAAACCUUCUUGACUUGCCUCCAUAUUAACCAUUGUUUAAGGAGAUUACAGUGUUAGUAAUAUGCAUUUUUCUUGUGAAAGUUCUGGAGAAUUAGUUCUGUUAGAUAGAAGAAGACAAUGGUACUUAAUUCAAAUGUUGUAUCAAUUUUCAUUCAGUGCGUACUAACUGCAAGCGAUGUUUGAAACCAAACUAAGGUAAAACCAACUGUUACUUUAUACUUCUAUUGUGUGUUCGUGCUGAUUACUCAAAGGACUAUUGGUGCUUGCCGAUUUCUCAAUCAAAUGGGUAUAAGGAUAUCUUCUAAAUAAGAGUAGCAUAAGUUAAUUUGAAUAUCAUAUAAUUAUUUUUUGUCAAGUUACAGGGACUGAAAGGUUUGUUUUGUCAUUUCUAUUUCCAGUAACGACGACACUUCUAACAACUAACAAGAAAGACAAAUUGGACUGUUUUCACUUUUGACUUCACUCUUCACUAGCAGAAGUGUGAAAUGUGAAGUUCUACGUAAUGAAAAUCAAUCUUGAGUGCAACAUGAUGAAAAAAUAGAAUCUGUUCUAGCAGAGCAUGGCUCAGAUGCCUAAUAGAAAAAUAGAAGAUGACACCAAAUACAAUUAGUCUGUCUAUCUUUGCUGGACAAAGUAACCCAUAAUAUAGACAAGUAUUUUUGGCACUUUUCUCUUAGGCAACUACCAAGGAAGAUAUGUUUGAUGUUUUGCAACUAGCAUGGUACUAUGUUCAACCUGAUGGCUGUUGUUUCAUCUCAAACAAUAUAUUUUAUUCUGAGUAGAAUGUUUAUCAAAUUUGUCACUGGUUUGUACUGAGUAUACUGUAAUUGGCUGUUUCAAAAGGGUGCUCUUACAAUCUAGGUAUUGCUACCAUUUUACCACAUGAAAAAAAGUCUUUCUCUUUAAUUCAUGUAUACUCUUGGCACUGAUCAAGUUAUCUAAUAGUUUUUUUAAUUUAAAUUUUAUAUUAAUAAUAAAAAUUAUGGAACAACCAAUAAUAUGGUGUACGUGUGUGUGGGCAUAUUUGAUGAUUAAAUAACCAUUGAAAUAUCUCUUGGAUCCUUGACGUUCGUGUUCUUCUCUGAUGCCAACAUGAACAAAUAUAUGUUCAAGCGAUCACUCUUGUGGAAUGGUUGAUUGGUUGGUGCACCAGGGCUCCGAGGGAAAGGGCAAUCUGUGACAGAUUCAAAAAGCCGAUCCAUUGUGUGGUGACCGGCUGACACACUGAACGAAGAUCGUUUUCAAGGUUGGUGUGAAGGAGUGCCCGGUUCGCUUCAAACAUUAGGUAAGUUGGUCUAUGUGAUGCUUAAUUACAGCAAACAAGAUUUGCUUUGAUUUCGGUAAGUAUAUACAGAAAACUUUCAGAUACGGAGUAUGUAAAUAGACUUGGUCUGUAUGCUCAAUUACUUUUUGUGCUGAUUUUUUUUUUUUGAGAAAUUUUGAGUCGAUUAGCUUGUGAGCAGUUGUUCAAACUGCUUUUUGUUUCCUAUGAAUAUUGAUUUCAGGUUGCAUAUGUAAGACUGUACUUUGCUAUCAUGUUGCGUGUACAAGAAGAAACUCGAAUUUGGUUGUCCGGUACUUAUGGUCAGAAUCAGCAUGCCUAAAGUCACAUUAAGUUUGUGCAUCAGUUUGGUUGAUUUCCAUAGCUAAAUAUCUCAUCUCGGGCACCCUGUGUUGGUCAAAUCCAGUGAACAAUCGCUGCUAACUGCAAGGAGAUCCACUUUGUUGCUGAUCCGUUCAUGGCGGAAGCCUAUGCUUUGCGGAAAGGACUGAGCCUUGCCCAGUUUUUAGGAUGCAACAAAAUCAUUAUUCAAUCUGAUAAUUCUCAGGUAAUUGAUACGGAGUACUAUGAAGGAGGGUGGAUUUUCUGAUACCUCUUCGGCAGCUAUCUUUGAUGAUUCUAGACUCCUCGCGACUGGGUUUAGAGAGAUCGCCUUCGAACAUUGCAAUCGGGAGG
This is a long non-coding RNA of Lolium rigidum, 3011 nucleotides long. RefSeq lists it as uncharacterized. The record is from RefSeq and is a predicted model, not a curated record. The transcript has 3 exons. NCBI's taxonomy places the organism in Eukaryota, Viridiplantae, Streptophyta, Magnoliopsida, Poales, Poaceae.